This 631-nucleotide ribosomal RNA is filed under the name Apiotrichum porosum. RNAcentral describes it as "LSU rRNA". It matches the Rfam family "Eukaryotic large subunit ribosomal RNA", at positions 46 to 669 of the family's 3401-position model. The record is from RNAcentral. Lineage: Eukaryota; Fungi; Basidiomycota; Tremellomycetes; Trichosporonales; Trichosporonaceae.
GUGCCCCGGGAAGAGGAACAUAAAAAGGAUUCCCUAGUACGGCGAGUGAACCGGGAAGAGCUCAAAUUUGAAAUCUGGCAGUCUUCGAUUGUCCGAGUUGUAAUCUAUAGAAGCGUUUUCCGUGCUGAACUGUGUAUAAGUCCCUUGGAACAGGGUAUCAAAGAGGGUGACAAUCCCGUACUUUACACAAUCAUCAGUGCUCUGUGAUACGUUCUCUACGAGUCGAGUUGUUUGGGAAUGCAGCUCAAAAUGGGUGGUAAAUUCCAUCUAAAGCUAAAUAUUGGCGAGAGACCGAUAGCGAACAAGUACCGUGAGGGAAAGAUGAAAAGCACUUUGGAAAGAGAGUUAAACAGUACGUGAAAUUGUUGAAAGGGAAACGAAAUUCAUGAAUCAUGUUUAUUGGACUCAGCCGUUCUUCGGUGUACUUCCUUUAAACGGGUCAACAUCAGUUUUGUCCGAUGGAUAAAGGUAGUAGGAAGGUGGCUCUCUCGGGAGUGUUAUAGCCUAUUGCUGCAUACAUUGGAUGAGACUGAGGACUGCAGCUUGCCUUUAUGGCCGGGGUUCGCCCACGUUCAAGCUUAGGAUGUUGACAUAUUCUCGAAUCACGACCCGUCUUGAAAACACGGACCCA